AGGGAUUGAGAUGAAGAUACGGAUUGGAUUAGAUUGGAGUUUUUAAAAAGAAGAUAAAAAAAAGUAAAAAUAAAUUUAGAAUUACAAUGUGCAUUGGUAAAAGUAACUGAAUAAAUGUGUAUGGUUUAGGGUUCUUCUUUCUACAAAGAAUUAUAAAAAAGUAUUGCUAUUCUCUCAUUAUUUUAAUCAUGAAAUACCCUACUUUUUCACUCUAUAUAAACCCCCAACAUCCCUUCAUUUCUUCACACACCAAAUCUUUUGUAUUUCAAACUAUCUGGUCGCUCCAAAUUAGGGUUUUCUUUUUUGUUUUUCUAGGUUUUUGCUGUUCUUGACGAUGAUGAUGGAACAUGAAGAAUCUUUGAAAUGGGUACACUGCACCACAUCUGUUAUUUAGGUUGAAGGGUAAGGGAGGUGACAGAAGAGAGUGAGCACACAUGGCACUUUCUUGCAUGAAUUCAUGCUUGAAGCUCUGUGUGCUCACUUUCUAUCUGUCACCCCGCCGCUUAAUUCUCUCUUUUCAUCUAUAUUUUACUGUUAAGUUAAUCUUUUUUUUCUGUUUUUCCUGCUAUUUUUGAGAUUAUUUUGUCACUUAAAUUUAGAAUAAAAACGAGCAAUUCUCUUCUGUUUUGAUGUUUAUAGUUUAGGGGUUUAGGAAAAAAAGCAAUUUUAUGUGAUUGAUCACUGACAAUUUUGGUUCUUGUACUUGUGUUCUAUAAUCGUACUUGUUGUCAUGAUUAUUAGAAAGGUUUGUACUUCGAUCAGUACAUUUAUUUCAUACCUUAAAUAGAAAAAGUUGAUUUUCUAGUUUUUUAGCUUAUAGUUGUUCUUUCCAGAUCUUCAUUCUUGUUAAUCUCAACCUACGAGUGUUAUGUUUUGUCCUUUUGUUUCUAUUUUUGGAAAAAAAACUUAAAAGCUACAAAAUUUUACAUUUAUGAUCAAUUCAUAUAAAAUUCAUUAUUUCACUGUUUUUUUUAUUUAAGUUUCUUAUAUGAAUUUUCCAUUAUAUAUGUUCUUUAAUCAAUUAAUUCAACUAAUAUUUGUAUAUGAUAGAUCUGAUUUUAUGUUGCAUGUGUUCAUAACUACCAGAGUAUUUAAAUAUUCUUCUCUCAUUUAAUAUAAACUAUAGCAUAAUUUUAUUAUUAUUUAUAGAUCAUGAGCAAAUCUUAUUGGUUCUUGAGUGAAUAUUUAUAUUAUAGCUAGCCUGGUCCUGCAGAAAGGAAACAUGAUUUUCUGAUGAGCAACCAGCUGAAAAAGAUUGCAAAGCAAGUAGUACAAGAACAAAAUAAGUUGAAAGCAGAUUUUGGUCUCAAAUUUCAGCUGUGAUCGAUAUACCAAUUUCUAUUUGUACAUCUAAUGUGGACCGAAAUUGAAAUUCGUAGAGUUUGGUGAUCCGAAAAUCAUGAGAUUUGUGGAACGAAAUUGAAACUCGGAGAGUUUGGUGAUCGAAGGUCCUAAAGUCAUGAACAAUGAGUAGUUAUUAGUUCAUUAGCUAUUGCACUAGGUUUCCUUAUUUUACCUGCUGCUGCUGUAUAUGCAAAAAAUCUCUCUAUAUAUUUAUUAUUUUUGUCUCUUGUAAUGCUAAGCUACAAUUCAUACAUAUGAUUGUUUUUUUUA
Mercurialis annua (annual mercury) is the source of this 1614-nucleotide long non-coding RNA. RefSeq lists it as uncharacterized. The transcript has 2 exons. NCBI's taxonomy places the organism in Eukaryota, Viridiplantae, Streptophyta, Magnoliopsida, Malpighiales, Euphorbiaceae. The record is from RefSeq and is a predicted model, not a curated record.